Molecule: long non-coding RNA, 1009 nt
Organism: Xenopus laevis (African clawed frog)
Lineage: Eukaryota; Metazoa; Chordata; Amphibia; Anura; Pipidae
Exons: 2
Source: RefSeq, a predicted model, not a curated record
UGACCGAGUGGUGGGCGGGGUUUAGUGAUCUCAUUUUGGGCAGGGGCUUAUGACUUCACAGGCUGUUUAUGAGGGUGACAGUUGUGAUGGAGUUGCAAUAAACUUGCCCAUACACGUGCCAAUAAAAUAGCUUGCCGGCCUACCAUAACCACCACACGGACGCACCAUGUACCCGGGAUAUCGGCAGCUGCAUCAAUUGUGUCGAUGAGGGAAUGAAAAGAUCCUCAGCUCCAAUUCACUUGCUGCUGUUCUGAUGAUUAGGUGCUGUCGGCCCAAAUGAACUGCACAGUAGAGAGAUGGUCAAACACCUGUUCGGCCACUUCAGAUACCAAACAUCAGACUGUGUGAGACCUCAAUUGUAAAAAACAAAACAAAAUCACCCCAUUGUGCCAGACACAUGGUGGGCAAAACUCAAAAAUCAGAAACAAUACAACAGAAAAUGAGCACGACGUAUGAACACUGUUCAUUUGAAAGCAGCUGUACAACACCAGAAAAAAACAGGCAAAGUAUCCAAAGUUUAGGCUCCCCCACAUUUCUUCGUAGCCCACAAGUUGGGCGUUAGCAGGGGCGUAACUACAGAGGAAGCAGAAGCGGGGCCCUGGCGGUAUAGUGGCCCUAGGAGGCCCUAAUUUAUAUACAAUUUCAAUAAAUUCUGGCAAAAUAAGUCAACCUCUAGGGGCCUGAAAAAUAAUUUGCUCUGGGACCCAGUAAUAUCUAGUUACGCCACUGGGAGUUAGUGCAAACAAAAAAAAAAAAUCUCCUCUAAUGAGUGCAAGAAUAAAGCCCAAGACUAAACUGAAAUCUGAGUCUUCUUUAUAAAGUAUUUCCCAGUAAGAAAGCAUUUAGGUGUAGACGAAUUGGGCCUAAUGGAAUAAAUGUUGCACUGGUCUAGUAGCAACCAAUCAGCAUGUAGCAUUUGCUGGUCAGCUGACUGUAAAGACACAUGUUAUUAGUUGCUAUGGGUUACUAGACCCAUAUAGUUCUGUAUUAAAAAUUUUUUUUUAAAUCC